This is a long non-coding RNA of Octopus sinensis (East Asian common octopus), 192 nucleotides long. RefSeq lists it as uncharacterized. The transcript has 3 exons. The record is from RefSeq and is a predicted model, not a curated record. NCBI's taxonomy places the organism in Eukaryota, Metazoa, Mollusca, Cephalopoda, Octopoda, Octopodidae.
UGUUAGCAUGCUGGGCGAAAUGCUUAGCGGUAUUUCGUCUGUCUAUAUUUUCUGAGUUCAAAUUCUGCUGAAGUCAACUUUGCUUUUCAUCCUUUCAGGGUUGAUACAUUACAUAUCAGUUGCAUACUUGGAUCAAUCUAAUCCACUGGGCCCCUCCCCCAAAAUUUCAUCCCUUGAGCCUAGAGUAGCAAA